RNAcentral lists this ribosomal RNA (403 nucleotides) under uncultured bacterium. RNAcentral's name for it is "bacterial SSU rRNA". It matches the Rfam family "Bacterial small subunit ribosomal RNA", at positions 355 to 774 of the family's 1533-position model. The record is from RNAcentral.
UAGGGAAUAUUGCAAAAUGGGCGAAAGCCCGAUGCAGCAACGCCGCGUGGGCGAUGAAGGCCUUCGGGUCGUAAAGCCCUUUUUGAGGGGAUGAGGAAGGACAGUACCCUCAGAAUAAGCCUCGGCUAACUACGUGCCAGCAGCCGCGGUAAAACGUAGGAGGCGAGCGUUAUCCGGAUUUACUGGGCGUGAAGCGCGUGCAGGCGGAUUGGAGAGUUGGAUGUGAAAGCUCCCGGCUUAACUGGGAGAGGUCGUUCAAUACUUCCAGUCUUGAGUGCAGGAGAGGGAAGUUGAAUUCCGGGUGUAGUGGUGAAAUGCGUAGAUAGCCGGAGGAACACCAGUGGCGAAAGCGGCUUCCUGGACUGUAACUGACGCUCAGACGCGAAAGCUAGGGUAGCAAACG